RNAcentral lists this ribosomal RNA (433 nucleotides) under uncultured bacterium. Its description in RNAcentral is "bacterial SSU rRNA". It matches the Rfam family "Bacterial small subunit ribosomal RNA", at positions 340 to 769 of the family's 1533-position model. The record is from RNAcentral.
UACGGAAGGCAGCAGUGGGGAAUAUUGCACAAUGGGCGCAAGCCUGAUGCAGCCAUGCCGCGUGUAUGAAGAAGGCCUUCGGGUUGUAAAGUACUUUCAGUCGUGAGGAAGGUGUUAAGGUUAAUAACCUUAGCAAUUGACGUUAGCGACAGAAGAAGCACCGGCUAACUCCGUGCCAGCAGCCGCGGUAAUACGGAGGUGCGAGCGUUAAUCGGAAUUACUGGGCGUAAAGGGCACGCAGGCGGUUAAUUAAGUUGGAUGUGAAAUCCCCGGGCUUAACCUGGGAAUGGCAUUCAAGACUGGUUAGCUAGAGUCUUGUAGAGGGGGUAGAAUUCCAUGUGUAGCGGUGAAAUGCGUAGAGAUGUGGAGGAAUACCGGUGGCGAAGGCGGCCCCUGGACAAGACUGACGCUCAUGUGCGAAAGCGUGGGGAGC